GACGAACGCUGGCGGCGUGCUUAACACAUGCAAGUCGAACGGAAAGGCCCUGCUUUUGUGGGGUGCUCGAGUGGCGAACGGGUGAGUAACACGUGAGUAACCUGCCCUUGACUUUGGGAUAACUUCAGGAAACUGGGGCUAAUACCGGAUAGGAGCUCCUGCUGCAUGGUGGGGGUUGGAAAGUUUCGGCGGUUGGGGAUGGACUCGCGGCUUAUCAGCUUGUUGGUGGGGUAGUGGCUUACCAAGGCUUUGACGGGUAGCCGGCCUGAGAGGGUGACCGGCCACAUUGGGACUGAGAUACGGCCCAGACUCCUACGGGAGGCAGAAGUGGGGAAUAUUGCACAAUGGGCGGAAGCCUGAUGCAGCAACGCCGCGUGCGGGAUGACGGCCUUCGGGUGGUAAACCGCUUUCGCCUGUGACGAAGCGUGAGUGACGGUAAUGGGUAAAGAAGCACCGGCUAACUACGUG
RNAcentral lists this ribosomal RNA (468 nucleotides) under uncultured bacterium. RNAcentral describes it as "partial 16S ribosomal RNA". It matches the Rfam family "Bacterial small subunit ribosomal RNA", at positions 28 to 507 of the family's 1533-position model. The record is from RNAcentral.